UGGUAUUUCAGUCCAAUGGUGCAUAACUUGCCACACAGCUAAUGUCCAUUUGCAUUUCUCGAAUAGGUGAACAUUAGUCUCCAUUACUUUCUCAUCACAUAAACAACAUUCAGUGUCAUCAACCUGAAUAUUCAAUCUCAGCUUUCUCUCCUGUGUAAGAUUUCUAUUUCACUAGAGUAUUAUAUUAUUAAAAGAAUUAAUUAUUGAACAUAAAUUUGCUUCAUAGUCAAAGCACACCAGUAAAAAAGAGUUGGUAUCAAUGAAAACAAAAUUAUGACAUGAGAGAUUAGUACACUUGACUUGAACACAAGUUUCAAAAUAAACCAUGAAGAGAAAACAAAUAAAUAAUUAGCCAUCUUUAUAAUUCUAUACACAAAAUGGAGAUGAAAGUGUAGGUCAGAAAGACCACAGAUUACAGAACUAUGAUCACCAGUCAUCUUUCCUUCUCCGUUGGAUGGCAUUUUAGUUCACUUUUCUCCAUUCUUUUUACACACCUUAUCUCAGAAUCUCCCAUCAAAUUUAACUCUGUGUGUGUGGCGUACCUAGAAUCUAACAACAUCUUUUGACUAAAUACCAUCCUAAAUUACCCCUACAUUUAUACAGUGUGCUAUUGGAAGUUACUCACUUUAGGAAACAUGAAGUUCUUAUCUUUAAUCUAUCACUUACUUGGUUGUUUAAGUUAUUUUUAUUUUAUUGCACGGAGAGUUACUUACAUUUUGAAAAAUGUUGUUCUAAGCUUUUAACAAUUAUUUAUUUGGCGUUCACACUUUGUGAGUGCUCUCUUCAAAACGUGGAAAAAAUAUAUCCUAAAUAGCUUCUACGACAAUCGCAGUAAUGCAUCAAACAAUGACACUGUAGUUUAUCUGAAUUACUCACCUAAUCAAUUAAGAUCUUGACACACUUUCUACAGAUCUUUUAAGAUCCUAGAUGAAACAUAAGUAUCUUUAAAGUUAUAGCUCGCUAAUUACUAUUUUUUGCACUCAGUUUUAGAAUUCUUUAGUUGACGAUUGGUGUUUACUUGAUUUUUGAAGGUAUUUCAAAACAUCUCCCUGUUAUGUGUUUCCGGGAUAGCAAAGGUUGGCUACUAAGCUAGGUAUUGUAUCUCCAACACAAUUGAAAUGAUAGAUCAAGUUAGCUCUGCAAUAUUUACUAAAACUGUAAGUUCUUGAAAUCUUUUGGAUAUCUUUCAUCUUAAAUAUCAGUAGAUUUUCUUAAAUAUUUGUUCAAGGUUCUUCAUUCCUCCAACUGGCCGUGGUUUAGUGUUUAUGUGAUUAUACUUGUUGUCAUUGUUACAGUUCCUUACAUAUAUGCUCCGCAUUAUUUUGUUAAAAGUGUAGAUAGGUAAUAUAAUUAUUCUACAUCACUAUAGUGUAAGAGUAAGUAUGCUAACCAAAAGGGCACUGUGUGUAAUUGCAUCAGGGGCGUAAUAAUAAAAAUUUCUAUUAAUUCUAUUGUAUAGAAACAUGAAGAGCUAGGACGACCAAUGGCAUAACCAUAAAUAUACUCAAUAUUGAAGGGUAAUAUGGUCAUUAUACAACACUAAUUUUUUAGCAAUUAACAUGCGCCUCUUCUAUUUUCCUUCUAGAACAUUCUCUCUCUUCCUUCCAUGUUGCAAUUAAGAGAUGACUCAAGAAAAAGAAUUGGUAAAUUGAUCGGAUCUUUCCUAAACCUCCUCUCUCUAGACCUAAUAUGUGAUCUAUCUAUUUCAUAGACUUCUCUUGUGAUGCUACUAAAGCAGGAAUGGGUGGUGUAAAUGGUUUAAUUAUCGGUAUAUAUAAUCGGUUUAUACACAUAGGUAGCUUUAUGAACUUUAAAAAGGAUAUCUAGAAGGAUUGUAACAUGUCAUAUUCUACAAUUCUGAAGAGUAAGCAUGAUGAAUCUUUCUGAUUGAUAAAAAUGGCCUCGAGAGGGAUUGUAACAUGUCAUAUUUUUACAAUUGUGAAGAAUAAGCAUAUGUUGGAAUAUGAAUUUCAUAAAUUGUUGUUUCUUUCUGAUGAAUGUAGUAUAAUUGGUGCAGGUGAUUGACGGUUUAGUUCCAUUAACAGAGAUGUUCAAUUGCGUUAGUAAAACUUGAAAGGGAAUGACAAAGGAGCAUGCAUCGUACAUUAUGCAAUUAGGCAAGUUUGAUGUUGUCCCUCAACACAUUCAAAUCAGCUUGCCAAAAAGGAAGAAGCAGCAGUUGUUUAGUCAGUCAGCUUUCAAAUUUGGAUCCACGAACUUAAAAAUAGGUAUUUUUACUCAAUGAAGGGACUGCUCUUUGACAUCAUCUUGUCUUUUGGUGUUGCAAUUUCAGUUUGAUCUUUUAUCUUAAUUUUAGCCAUUAUUUUAAGAUUCUCUUUACAUUUUCCAACAUGGUUGAAGCGGUUAUAUUUUGACUAGCUUUCACUGCCAUAAAUUUCAUAGAGGCAAGUCAACAUGCCGGUUUUAUACUGAUUUGUUGUGAAUUUCAACCUCUUACUUGUUCUCCUAUGCUUGGUGGUUAAUUUCUUUAAAUUUUUUUACUCAACGGUUAGUCUCCCGUGGUUUCCACUCCAAGUCCACCAAUCCAACGUAAACUUGCCAACAUCGUAUUUCAUGAAACUUGUGUGCACUUACCAAACUACCCUGCCCCUUCGCCCUCAACCAUUAGCUCCCACGCCUAAUAACAAGGACAUCAUAGUAAAAUCACUUUGUUACCGUAAUCGAACAGACCCCAUAGAAUAUAGUUGGACUGGUUAUUUUUUUCUUUAACUUCUUUAAUAAUAAUUAAGAAUCUACGUUAACACUUGACUAAUAGUAUAUGAGUUCCCUCUGUUCUUUUUUCCAUCAUAAAGUUUAAUUUUUCUUUGUUGUUUCUAAAUUAAAACUUGUAUUCUUUUAAUUCCAAUCUUUUAACCUUUUAGGUGAACCAAGAAAAGAAAAAAUGUUGGAUGCAUAAAAGAAUAACAAGUUUUAUUCCCAAUGGUAAGAGUGACAAUUUGUUAGGGUUGGUUUUUUUUUUCCAUAAAUAUUUUUCAGAAUGUAGAAAAUUAUUUUUCUUGUUAAUUUUGCUUAUGUUGUGGGAAUUUUCUGAUAUAACAAGAGUCUACAAUCAGGCAGACGAAAACUCAAAUCGAAAUGAUCAGGAAGUAGAGAUAUGCAAUGUAGAAAUAUUUGAAGAAUGAUAUAACUGGCGUCUUAAAAUAUGGAUUGGAUGUCAACCCCUGCCACAGGGUAAUUUUCUUUUGUUGGAAUUGAUCCAUCUAUAUAUUCUGUUAUUCUAUCACUUAGUUUUAUUUUAUAUGGCCUCUUUCUUUAUACUGAUUUGUUGUGAGUUUUAGUUUUAUUUUAUAUGGCCUGUUUCUUUAUACUGAUUUGUUUGAGUUUCAACCUCUUACGUGUUCUCCUAUUCUUUGGUGGUUAAUUCCAUUAGUUUUUUUGUAUGUGCAUGUUAGUUCGUGCACAUAUCUUUUCUUCUACUUGAUUUUCCUAAAACCAAAUACACGCUAUCACUAAGAAUAAUGGUCUAUUGAGUUCUCUUCCUCUCAAUGCAACUGCAUUGCUUUGGCUAAUUUAUAUGAGCUUAAGGAAAAAGAAAAUGUAGAGUGAAUUUUUUAAAAAGAAAAUGUAGAGUGAUUUUUUUUUCUUUCUUUCUUUUCGGUGAUUACUAAGAAAGGCUAAUGAUCUAAAUUUAUGCAUUCUCUAAGUUGGUCUUUUUCAUAAGCACCAUGCCAAGUCAAAAAGGGCCACAUAAAAUAGGAUAGAUGGAGUAUAAUUUUUUUUUAAAUGUACUUCCUAUCAUAAAUAGUUAUUUUUGUAAUGAAAAAAUUAACAUAAAAUGUAUUCUUGAUAAAAAUAUUAGCCCCCCCCCCCUCCCCCUAAAAUUGAGGGCCCAAGGCAUGUGCUUACUUUUUAUAGCAUAGAGUUUACCAUGUGUUGCAAUUCUCAAGCCUUAAUUAGCUCUUGAAGAAGGUUAGCAACCACAUAUAUCUUCCUUCUCAGAAAUAUUUAUGCACAAAUAUACUUAUAUACGUGCAAGAUGUUUUAACAGUAAAUAUUGAAAUAUAGCGCAAGACUCUUCUCAUAUGAGCCAGACAUGUUUCAAUAUUCUAUGUGCUAAGAGGAUUCUUCCAUGAUUGUGAUUUUGAAUUUUGCAAUGUGAAUGACAGGAAUACUUUCUUGAAUCUAUUUCCUUAGGGCAUUGAGUGAAGGUUGUUCCUUUCAAAUUCACAUAUAACUUGGUAUAUGUUAAUUCUUUGUGGUUAUCUUCAGUAUUUUAUUUUAAAUUGACAUAUAACUUGUAAUAUGCUGGUUCUUUGUGAUUGUCUUCACUAUUUUAUUUUUACUUUUGCUUUAAGUGCUACUAUUUUUAUGAACAGUUGUUAUUUCGGAACUUUUAUUCCUUUCCUUGAGAUAUUAAAGCUGGAGUAUAUAGUUCGUGCUGAGUGAAGGAAAUUUUGCAUCUUAUCAAGACAAUUGCAAACACUCGAGGCAUCAAUGGAUUUAUGAAACGGAAUUUUAUUACUCUACAUGCAGCUCCAUUUAAGGAUACCAACUUCUAUUCUUUUGAAAAAUACAGAGAGCAUCUACUCAAAUUUACUACUAAUGAUUCAAGGCAUCACUAGAUUUUGUAAAAUGAAUUUUGUCAUAUUCUAUGAUUAGCUCUAUGUAAGUCUAUCCACUUCUAUUUUCUUAUGAUAAAUAUUGAAAAGUAUUUAGAAGAUAGUUGUCUGCAAUGUAAAGUUAUUUGUGGAAAGGGAGAAAUUAGUUGUAUUAUUGCACUUUGAAGUUCAUUUGUAUAACUUAUGCAAUGAUCUAUUAGCUUUUACAAUAUAUACUCUUAUCCGAGUAACUAUGCAAAGUACAUACCACUUGAAAAUGCUAAAUGUUGGGCCCGUGUAAGCACGGGCUAUAUCCAUCUAGUCUAUCUAUUAUAUAGAAACGUGAUGAGAGGACGACCACUGGC
This 4924-nucleotide long non-coding RNA is filed under the name Solanum tuberosum (potato). RNAcentral's name for it is "long non-coding RNA (STUB_LNC007950)". The record is from RNAcentral. Lineage: Eukaryota; Viridiplantae; Streptophyta; Magnoliopsida; Solanales; Solanaceae.